AUUGGAAAGGACAGCUUGUACCAGGAAGAAAGCUAUAGCAGAGAUUCCCCUUUACCUAAGAAACUUAUCUGCAUAUUAAGGACCUGCCUUAGCUGUCCUGUUGGAGACUUAUGAGAGGCACAUGGAGGAGAGUGGCAUUAUCUAAGAUGAGGCAGACCAACGCAGCCAUUCUCCAGCUGAGCCCCCAGCUGACAACAAAUGCAUGAGAGAGGCCAGUGAGGUGAGUUGUACCUAGCCUAAGACAGCAGAAUAGCCUGGGCAGCUCCUAGACUCAGGAGAAGUAAAGCAUGGUUGUUGUUGUUGUUGUUGUUGUUGUUGUUGUU
This is a long non-coding RNA of Panthera uncia (snow leopard), 323 nucleotides long. RefSeq lists it as uncharacterized. Lineage: Eukaryota; Metazoa; Chordata; Mammalia; Carnivora; Felidae. The record is from RefSeq and is a predicted model, not a curated record. The transcript is spliced from 2 exons.